CUACGGGUGGCACCAGUCGAGAAUCAUCCGCAAUGGGCGAAAGCCUGACGGUGCAAUGCCGCGUGGAGGAUGACGCAUUUCGGUGUGUAAACUCCUUUUAUAUGUCAAGAAAAUGACGGUAGCAUAUGAAUAAGCACCGGCUAACUCCGUGCCAGCAGCCGCGGUAAUACGGAGGGUGCAAGCGUGUACUCGGAAUCACUGGGCGUAAAGGACGCGUAGGCGGGUUGGAAAGUCAGGUGUGAAAUCCUACAGCUUAACUGUAGAACUGCACUUGAAACUUCUAAUCUAGAGUAUGGGAGGGGGAGAUGGAAUUAGUGGUGUAGGGGUAAAAUCCGUAGAUAUCACUAGGAAUACCUAAAGCGAAGGCGAUCUCCUGGAACAUUACUGACGCUAAGGCGUGAAAGCGUGGGGAGCAAACAGGAUUAGAUACCCCCGUAGUC
Molecule: ribosomal RNA, 440 nt
Filed under: uncultured bacterium
Lineage: Bacteria
Description: partial 16S ribosomal RNA
Rfam family: Bacterial small subunit ribosomal RNA
Source: RNAcentral